Molecule: unclassified non-coding RNA, 345 nt
Filed under: soil metagenome
Description: partial contains 5.8S ribosomal RNA, internal transcribed spacer 2, and large subunit ribosomal RNA
Rfam family: 5.8S ribosomal RNA (bases 1-120)
Source: RNAcentral
GAUGAAGAACGUAGCGAAAUGCGAUACGUAAUGUGAAUUGCAGAAUUCAGUGAAUCAUCGAGUCUUUGAACGCACAUUGCGCCCCCUGGUAUUCCGGGGGGCAUGCCUGUCCGAGCGUCAUUGCUGCCCUCAAGCCCGGCUUGUGUGUUGGGUCUCGUCCCCCUUCCCGGGGGGACGGGCCCGAAAGGCAGCGGCGGCACCGUGUCCGGUCCUCGAGCGUAUGGGGCUUUGUCACCCGCUCUGUAGGCCCGGCCGGCGCUUGCCGAUCAACCAAAACUUUUUUCCAGGUUGACCUCGGAUCAGGUAGGGAUACCCGCUGAACUUAAGCAUACAAUAAGCGGAGGA